CAUGAAGAGCUGGUGCCCUUAGAGGGAUUAUCACACUCUAGGAAAGCCCACUCAGGUGUAUGUUGGUGAGGCUGGUUCAUGAGAGCCACUUCUUGCCACCUAUUUCCAACUCCAUGUAAGUGACUUUGUGUUGGUGGAAAUUCGCCCUGAUAGGAAUAAUUAUAGAAACUGGCAUGUUAGUUCCUUUCCACAACCUGGUUGUUGCACAUCUGUUAACAUACUACUGAAGUGAAUAGUAGUAGCCAGGAGAAAAGGUUUUCUCACACUGUGGCUCUGACUCUACAUUUGUACCUAGUUGGAGAAAGCCUGAAGGGCUUUACAGACCUUACAUUCUUUUUGUUUAUUUAUUUAUGUUUUAGAUGAGCCUCUAAAAGUGAGCCUCUUGCUUCAGCCACCUGAAUAGCUAGAACUCUAGGCGUGCACCACUGUACGUGGCAACAGACACUACACCCUUCUCCUUGCCUGUGUCUUUGAGUGUGCUUAUGAACUUAGUCCAAUAUCUGUAUAGUUAUUGUUCUUCCUAUUUCCAUGGUUCUAUCCUCAGUCUCUGACUACUUGCUCUCUAAAGGUGGAACGAAUCAAGAAGCUCUGCGACAGCCAAAGACUCUGAGUUAGAAACUAUCAAUAGGCCAAUGUAGAGAAAGGUUGAGAAGGAGUGAUAAGCUGGGAUGGGAUAUUCAGUCUCGGUAAGGUAAAAGGGCUGGUGUUUUUAGAAGAAAGGAUUUCCCUUCCUUGGCUUCUCUAGUGAAAACUGGUUGGAGUGAAAAAGUUAAGGGGAAGAUGCCUGUGGCUAGUGCCUUAGACGAUUCCCACCCCUAUAUCUCCGGUCACUUUGGUGCGGGGCUGCAGGCCUUUCCCCGUGCCGCAGCAGAAGGCGCUCUUGCGCGAUCGCCAUUCUGGCUGCGGGAGCUCAGCGACGCUCUAGUCUCUUUUCUCUGUGGCAUCCCGGCGGCUUCUUUGGCCUCUGCAGCAUUGCGGGUUCUCCGGCAGGGGAGAAAACGCCAACUUGGCACGCAGCCUCCGGGACCGAGGCAUGGCACGGCUCCCGAAGCUCGCAGUCUUUGAUCUGGAUUACACGCUGUGGCCUUUUUGGGUCGACACGCACGUAGACCCCCCAUUCCACAAGAGCAGUGAUGGAACUGUCCGGGAUAGUCGGGGCCAGAACAUUCGGUUGUACCCGGAGGUGUCUAAGGUCCUAGAACGGUUACAGGACCUUGGGGUGCCCGUCGCAGCGGCUUCCCGGACAGGUGAGAUAGAAGGGGCGAACCAACUACUGGAGCUCUUUGACCUUGUUAGAUAUUUUGCUCAUCGGGAAAUUUAUCCAGGCAGCAAAGUCACACACUUUGAGAGGUUGCAGCAGAAGACUGGGGUUUCUUUCGCCCAGAUGAUCUUCUUCGAUGAUGAGAAGCGAAAUAUUGUAGAUGUUGGUAAACUGGGUGUUCUCUGCAUUCACAUUCAGAAUGGAAUGAGUCUUCAAACCCUAGCCCAAGGGUUAGAAACAUUCACUAACUCUCAAGCUGGGCACUGAGGUCCAGCCCUGAGGAUGAGCCUCAUUUGAAGCCUAAAAUGGAAAGGAAACGGAGAAGGCAUUUUUUUCAGGGAAGAAGGAAAAGGGGCCAACCCCUGAAGAAGCAAUACAGAAACUGAAGGAGACUGAGAAGAUACUGAUCAAAAAACAGGAGUUUCUGGAACAGAAGAUUCAGCAGGAGCUACAAACAGCCAAGAAGCAUGGGACCAAGAACAAAAGAGCUGCCCUGCAGGCUUUGCGGAGAAAGAAAAGAUUGGAACAGCAGUUGGCACAAACCGAUGGAACAUUAUCCACCCUGGAGUUUCAGCGUGAAGCGAUUGAGAAUGCCACCACCAAUGCAGAAGUGCUUCGUACUAUGGAGGUUGCUGCUCAAGGCAUGAAAAAAGCCUACCAGGACAUGUAGGGACAUUGACAAGGUGGAUGAAUUGAUGGCUGAUAUCACAGAACAACAGGAACUGGCCCAGCAGAUCUCAGAUGCCAUUUCUCGGCCUGUGGGCUUUGGAGAUGAUGUGGAUGAGGAUGAAUUAUUGGAAGAGCUAGAGGAACUAGAGCAGGAGAAAUUGGCCCAGGGGUUGUUAAAUGUGGGCAAUGAGGAAGAAGAACCCCCAGUCAAAUUGCCUAGUGUACCUUCUACACAUCUGCCUGCAGGGCCAGCUCCCAAAGAGGAUGAAGAUGAAGAAUUAAAACAGUUGGCUGAGUGGGUAUCCUGAGUCUGGGUUUGUCCUCCUCCUGCUGCCUUCAUUGGUCCCUUUUCCUUAAGUGCCAAAUGCCAAGCUAAAGAAGCACAGCUUUUUUGGGAGGUCUUGCUGAUGUGGUAGUAUGCCUGUAUGAGAAAGGGACCUGUUGCCCUUCCAUCCCUGGCUGAACGCUGAAGGAUCUUGCUGCAGGGACCCCUGGGCUCCAUUCUCUUUGAUAGCAGUUACAGUGCCCUUGAUAUCAAUAAAAUUGGGUAGAUGGA
This is an RNA transcript of Marmota flaviventris (yellow-bellied marmot), 2486 nucleotides long. It is a transcript of the gene named magnesium dependent phosphatase 1, with no coding region annotated. NCBI's taxonomy places the organism in Eukaryota, Metazoa, Chordata, Mammalia, Rodentia, Sciuridae. The record is from RefSeq and is a predicted model, not a curated record.